UUCACAUUACACGUAGCCUGUGUGAGUCUCGGACCGAUCACGAUUUUUCGUGCCGCGAAAUCGACAACGCGAGGAUCGGUUAAUUAUAAACGUUAUAGUUAUCUAUAAAUAUCAGAGUAAUUGGAAUAACCAAUCCAUAUAAUAUUGAAUUUGCAAUAUUUCGAGGAACCGAAUCGAUCACGACUUCCGUCGUCUCUGUUUUCCCGCCUUUUAGGCUGUUGGUGAAAAGCGCCUUGAAGUAAGGACUGACUGCGGAUAAAAUGGCGCGAUGCACUGGGAAAAUGUGGCCCGUGGCACAUCGUAUUGCACCGUCGCAUAAUUGCUGGUUUGCUCUGAAAUAUCGAUGCGUAUUAAUGGAAAAAUGAAUGGAUCAAACAUGAAAAGAAAUUGCAAUCGAAACAAUAAUAUCUUGGUAAUUGCUAAAAAUUGACGAAAAUAUAUAAAUACUUGUGACAAA
Bombus huntii is the source of this 457-nucleotide long non-coding RNA. RefSeq lists it as uncharacterized. The transcript has 2 exons. The record is from RefSeq and is a predicted model, not a curated record. Lineage: Eukaryota; Metazoa; Arthropoda; Insecta; Hymenoptera; Apidae.